This 345-nucleotide unclassified non-coding RNA is filed under the name soil metagenome. RNAcentral describes it as "partial contains 5.8S ribosomal RNA, internal transcribed spacer 2, and large subunit ribosomal RNA". The stretch from base 1 to 120 matches the Rfam family "5.8S ribosomal RNA", at positions 35 to 154 of the family's 154-position model. The record is from RNAcentral.
GAUGAAGAACGUAGCGAAAUGCGAUAAGUAAUGUGAAUUGCAGAAUUCCGUGAAUCAUCGAAUCUUUGAACGCACAUUGCGCCCCCUGGUAUUCCGGGGGGCAUGCCUGUCCGAGCGUCAUUGCUGCCCUCAAGCACGGCUUGUGUGUUGGGCCUCCGUCCUCCUCCCGGGGGACGGGCCCGAAAGGCAGCGGCGGCACCGCGUCCGGUCCUCGAGCGUAUGGGGCUUCGUCACCCGCUCUUGUAGGCCCGGUCGGCGCUUGCCGACACAUCAAUCUUUUUUCCAGGUUGACCUCGGAUCAGGUAGGGAUACCCGCUGAACUUAAGCAUAUCAAUAAGCGGAGGA